CCUACGGGGGGCAGCAGUGAGGAAUAUUGGUCAAUGGGCGGAAGCCUGAACCAGCCACGUAGCGUGCAGGAUGACGGCCCUACGGGUUGUAAACUGCUUUUAUACGGGAAUAACGCGCCUUAUGUGUAGGGCUUUGCAUGUACCGUAUGAAUAAGGACCGGCUAAUUCCGUGCCAGCAGCCGCGGUAAUACGAAGGGUCCGGGCGUUAUCCGGAUUUCUUGGGUUUAAAGGGAGCGUAGGCCGGAUGGCAAGCGUGCUGUGAAAUGUCCGGGCUCAACCCGGGCCUUGCAGCGCGAACUGGCGUGCUUGAGUCCGCGGAAGGCAGGCGGAAUUCGUCGUGUAGCGGUGAAAUGCUUAGAUAUGACGAAGAACCCCGAUUGCGAAGGCAGCUUGCUGCAGCGGAACUGACGCUGAUGCUCGAAAGCGCGGGUAUCGAACAGGAUUAGAUACCCGUGUAGUC
This 460-nucleotide ribosomal RNA is filed under the name uncultured bacterium. RNAcentral describes it as "partial 16S ribosomal RNA". It matches the Rfam family "Bacterial small subunit ribosomal RNA", at positions 338 to 795 of the family's 1533-position model. The record is from RNAcentral.